CUCUUUUAUUUUCCCUUUCUCACGACUGCUUGGCUUCACUCUCCACUACCUUCGGUCCGCCCGAUUCGAAACACAGUAGGACACAAACUUCUGCAAAUUGGAUUUCAAGAUGGACUUGAGGUUGGAAGCCAACUUGGAGAUGGAAUUGCAACUGGGUUUUCGACACAAAAGAGUUCCCCAACAUAAAGCUUGCAAUCAGCUUCAUCUUCCUAUUCCGUGAAGAGAAAUUGGUGAUUUUGAUGAGAGAAUUGGCCUAGGUUCACGGUGAUUUGUACCGGGCUCAAGUCGGACCAGGUGAUAGUAGUCACAGCAUUCUAAAGGUGGCCGGAGACAGGAACAACGACUAUACUGUAGCCAAGUAUCAGAACUCUAGGAUUUAAACUCAAGGGUGAGGCCUUCUUUUAUUUACCCAUUGGCUAUUUUGAGAAUAGGCGUUUUAGAAUGAAGAUCGGGACUGGCUCUUUUUGGCUAUGGUGCUUUGAAAGGAUGCAGGGGGUAAUUAUAUGUGGUGUUUAAGUGAAGUUGACAGAGUUCCUGUUAUCAUUUUUAUGUUGAAUCACGACCCUAUAUGGAAGCAAGGUCUGGAUGGUGAUCCACAAAGGGUCCUCUGUCAGUUCCGGCUUAUUAAACUGCCGAAACUUGAGGAUGAUAUCGGCACCCUAAGGCUCGUAGUUUCAAAGUUCUGAAAACAGUAUUGGCACCGUAAGGCACCGCCACCAGACAUUUGAAAGUAAUUUCAGCACCCUAAGGCACGCCGAACGAAGCUCUGACACAGUAUUGGCACCGAAAGGCACCGCCACCGGAGCUUUGAAAAUGGUAAAACCAUAAAGAGUUGCAGACGUACUCCCCACCUUUGAUUCCUGUGGAACACGCUGCGGCUUCUCCUCUGUCUCCUACUCUCCUUUGCUUUCCUUCUCUUUCUGCUUCUGUUUUUCUUUUUCUUUUCGGCACAGCCCUCUUGGCUUUUUAUAUAAUGCACUGAUGGUAUGAUUGAGUUUUAGAGAGACUCUUGUAUUUGAUAUGCAUUGAAACACCAAAAGAUAGCUGUAAUCUUUAUCAUGGAAGCUCCCCCGUACGGGUUGCACUCAAACUCUAGUAUUUGAUAAGCUUGUGAGCAAAUAUGACGUGGGCCUUUGGCUUUCAUAGA
Rosa chinensis is the source of this 1147-nucleotide long non-coding RNA. RefSeq lists it as uncharacterized. NCBI's taxonomy places the organism in Eukaryota, Viridiplantae, Streptophyta, Magnoliopsida, Rosales, Rosaceae. The transcript has 4 exons. The record is from RefSeq and is a predicted model, not a curated record.